Molecule: ribosomal RNA, 1468 nt
Filed under: uncultured organism
Description: SSU rRNA
Rfam family: Bacterial small subunit ribosomal RNA
Source: RNAcentral
GACGAACGCUGGCGGCGUGCCUAAUACAUGCAAGUAGAACGCUGAAGAGAGGAGCUUGCUCUUCUUGGAUGAGUUGCGAACGGGUGAGUAACGCGUAGGUAACCUGCCUUGUAGCGGGGGAUAACUAUUGGAAACGAUAGCUAAUACCGCAUAACAAUGGAUGACACAUGUCAUUUAUUUGAAAGGGGCAAUUGCUCCACUACAAGAUGGACCUGCGUUGUAUUAGCUAGUAGGUGAGGUAAUGGCUCACCUAGGCGACGAUACAUAGCCGACCUGAGAGGGUGAUCGGCCACACUGGGACUGAGACACGGCCCAGACUCCUACGGGAGGCAGCAGUAGGGAAUCUUCGGCAAUGGGGGCAACCCUGACCGAGCAACGCCGCGUGAGUGAAGAAGGUUUUCGGAUCGUAAAGCUCUGUUGUAAGUCAAGAACGGGUGUGAGAGUGGAAAGUUCACACUAUGACGGUAGCUUACCAGAAAGGGACGGCUAACUACGUGCCAGCAGCCGCGGUAAUACGUAGGUCCCGAGCGUUGUCCGGAUUUAUUGGGCGUAAAGCGAGCGCAGGCGGUUUGAUAAGUCUGAAGUUAAAGGCUGUGGCUCAACCAUAGUUCGCUUUGGAAACUGUCAAACUUGAGUGCAGAAGGGGAGAGUGGAAUUCCAUGUGUAGCGGUGAAAUGCGUAGAUAUAUGGAGGAACACCGGUGGCGAAAGCGGCUCUCUGGCCUGUAACUGACGCUGAGGCUCGAAAGCGUGGGGAGCGAACAGGAUUAGAUACCCUGGUAGUCCACGCCGUAAACGAUGAGUGCUAGGUGUUGGAUCCUUUCCGGGAUUCAGUGCCGCAGCUAACGCAUUAAGCACUCCGCCUGGGGAGUACGACCGCAAGGUUGAAACUCAAAGGAAUUGACGGGGGCCCGCACAAGCGGUGGAGCAUGUGGUUUAAUUCGAAGCAACGCGAAGAACCUUACCAGGUCUUGACAUCCCGAUGCUAUUUCUAGAGAUAGAAAGUUACUUCGGUACAUCGGUGACAGGUGGUGCAUGGUUGUCGUCAGCUCGUGUCGUGAGAUGUUGGGUUAAGUCCCGCAACGAGCGCAACCCCUAUUGUUAGUUGCCAUCAUUCAGUUGGGCACUCUAGCGAGACUGCCGGUAAUAAACCGGAGGAAGGUGGGGAUGACGUCAAAUCAUCAUGCCCCUUAUGACCUGGGCUACACACGUGCUACAAUGGUUGGUACAACGAGUUGCGAGUCGGUGACGGCGAGCUAAUCUCUUAAAGCCAAUCUCAGUUCGGAUUGUAGGCUGCAACUCGCCUACAUGAAGUCGGAAUCGCUAGUAAUCGCGGAUCAGCACGCCGCGGUGAAUACGUUCCCGGGCCUUGUACACGCCGCCCGUCACACCACGAGAGUUUGUAACACCCGAAGUCGGUGAGGUAACCUUUUGGAGCCAGCCGCCUAAGGUGGGACAGAUGAAAGGGG